Molecule: ribosomal RNA, 594 nt
Filed under: uncultured bacterium
Lineage: Bacteria
Description: bacterial SSU rRNA
Rfam family: Bacterial small subunit ribosomal RNA
Source: RNAcentral
CCUACGGGAGGCAGCAGUGGGGAAUAUUGGACAAUGGGGGCAACCCUGAUCCAGCAAUGCCGCGUGAGUGAUGAAGGCCUUCGGGUUGUAAAGCUCUUUUGUUAGGGACGAUGAUGACGGUACCUAACGAAUAAGCCCCGGCUAACUUCGUGCCAGCAGCCGCGGUAAUACGAAGGGGGCUAGCGUUGUUCGGAAUGACUGGGCGUAAAGGGCGCGUAGGCGGCUUAAUAAGUUUGGUGUGAAAUCCCUGGGCUCAACCUAGGAAUUGCAUUGAAAACUGUUAAGCUAGAGACUAAGAGAGGGAAAUGGAAUUGCGUGUGUAGAGGUGAAAUUCGUAGAUAUACGCAAGAACACCGGUGGCGAAGGCGAUUUCCUGGCUUAGAACUGACGCUAAGGCGCGAAAGCGUGGGGAGCAAACAGGAUUAGAUACCCUGGUAGUCCACGCUGUAAACGAUGAAAGCUAGAUGUCGGGGGUAUACCCCUCGGUAUCGUCGCAAACGCAUUAAGCUUUCCGCCUGGGGAGUACGGUCGCAAGAUUAAAACUCAAAGUAUAAUCGGACGNGAGAGACGCGACGACGACGACGACGAGGAGAG